This is a small nuclear RNA of Zophobas morio, 93 nucleotides long. Lineage: Eukaryota; Metazoa; Arthropoda; Insecta; Coleoptera; Tenebrionidae. The record is from RefSeq and is a predicted model, not a curated record.
GUGUAGCAUGAAAGGAGAGACGGUUAGCACUCCCCUAGACAAGGAUGGAUACACAAAUACGGCCGGGCUUCGCACACUCGGCCAAAUUUUUUU